This 615-nucleotide ribosomal RNA is filed under the name Helotiaceae sp. bc_ktma_12_2j. Its description in RNAcentral is "eukaryotic LSU rRNA". The stretch from base 323 to 467 matches the Rfam family "5.8S ribosomal RNA". Lineage: Eukaryota; Fungi; Ascomycota; Leotiomycetes; Helotiales; Helotiaceae. The record is from RNAcentral.
GGUUCUGGCAUCGAUGAAGAACGCACCGAAAUGCGAUAAGUAAUGUGAAUUGCAGAAUUCAGUGAAUCAUCCAAUCUUUGAACGCACAUUGCGCCCCUUGGUAUUCCGAGGGGCAUGCCUGUUCGAGCGUCAUUAUAACCACUCAAGCCUCGGCUUGGUCUUGGGGUUCGCGGUCUCGCGGCCCUUAAAAUCAGUGGCGGUGCCGUCUGGCUCUAAGCGUAGUAAUUUUCUCGCUAUAGGGUCCAGGUGACCACCUGCCAAAACCCCCCAUUCUUUACGGUUGACCUCGGAUCAAGUAGGGAUACCCGCUGAACUUAAUCAUAUCAAAGCCCGGAGGAACUGGCAUCGAUGAAGAACGCAGCGAAAUGCGAUAAGUAAUGUGAAUUGCAGAAUUCAGUGAAUCAUCGAAUCUUUGAACGCACAUUGCGCCCCUUGGUAUUCCGAGGGGCAUGCCUGUUCGAGCGUCAUUAUAACCACUCAAGCCUCGGCUUGGUCUUGGGGUUCGCGGUCUCGCGGCCCUUAAAAUCAGUGGCGGUGCCGUCUGGCUCUAAGCGUAGUAAUUUUCUCGCUAUAGGGUCUAGGCGACCACCUGCCAAAACCCCCCAUUCUUUACGG